RNAcentral lists this long non-coding RNA (1483 nucleotides) under Setaria viridis. RNAcentral describes it as "long non-coding RNA (SVIR_LNC010147)". Lineage: Eukaryota; Viridiplantae; Streptophyta; Magnoliopsida; Poales; Poaceae. The record is from RNAcentral.
UCGCCGGGUAAAUUGGCCGAAGCUGAUGUCUGAUCCGAUCCGAUGACCCAACUGACCGGUUCCUGGCGAGAGUGUGAUCGAUGAGGCGAGAGCACUGCACGCCUGACGUCUCCAAAAUAUUCUUCGGUUAAAGUAUCCUCUGAAGCCCCGUCCCAAUUGUACCACCACUAGCGAUAGUCGCUUCUUGUGGUUUUUGGUCCGGACGCGAGUGGCGGUGAAUUUUUAACGGAAGUCAAGUAAAGGCAAUCACUGAAAACUAACUGCGAUCUAGCAGAAAGCAACGUCUGGGGGGUUAGAGGAAAUGAGCUAUCGCCUGGCUCUUUAUAGUCCUUAUCUUAAUAACUGCUUUUUUGGAAGGAAAAGGUGGGAAGCCACUUUGUUGUUCUGGUGCGGGAAAAUGAAAUUAAGGUUUGGAUAUUAGGGUUUAAUUAAUACCUUUUACCGUGUCUUAUGUCUCGUCAAUUUUGUCGCCAAACUCAAAUUACUUGUUUCAACUUGGGGUUGUCUACUGUGUACCCGAGUAUUUUUUUCCUCCCACACUUGAAUUCUGAACCGUUGGAUCGAAAACGGAUGGACGAGAUCUAUCAGCACCUCCACCUUAUCUUCUCCAUCCGUGGACAGGAUUCGCGGACCAUUCCUAUCCUCUUCUUCCUCCCGACCCUGUCAUCUCACCGCCGGUGUGGCCCUUCCUCCCUCCACCGCCCCUCCCUCUUCCGUUUUCCCCAUCACUGAGGUCGCCGCCACCAGUUGCCCCCGCCUCCGUUGCCGCCCUGCUCGUCUCCGGCGGGCCGCCGUAGUCUCGACCGCCCCCACGCUAAUUCGUAGCCGGUGCUCGCCCCCGUCCUUCCACCGCCCAGCCGGGGGUCCACCGCUGCCCCGGCAAGCGGCACCCCCGCCUCACCGCCAUCUCUACUGCCACCACUGCCCGCUAUCCUGCCACCCAGAGCUUCCUCUAGAUCUGCCAAAGAUAGGUACGCCCCCAACCUCGAACCCUAAAAGCUCGUCGGGGCUCGUCGGAGCUAGAGAAGAAGGGAGAGAUGAGGGGAAGCAAAAAUUCAAGUGUGGGCAGCUGAAAAAAAAUGAUCGAGCAUAGUUUAGCUUUGCCCUUCAACUAUCAAGAUUUUCUGCCCACUUACAAAACUAAACUAUCAAGAUUCUUUUUCUUAUUUUCUAUGGAUGGGGAUACAAUUUUGGAAGUUCUAUCUACUUUGGGUUACAAACUUAUCAGGGGAAUAAGUAUAGCUCGGAUGGUUAGCGGAGAUAAUUGUACACGCACCCCGGGUCUUCAUGGAUCAAACUUCAAAUCUGACGUCCCGUGUGCUGCUUUUCAGUAGAAAAUUGGCGUUCAUAUUGACAUCGAGACAUGCCAGUAACUUCAUCAAUCUUAAUAUAUGUGAAACUAUGUGUGUUCAUAAGUGUAAGUGUAUAUGUCUCUGUCUGCAUGCGUAAGUGUGAGCGUAUACAUCCUAUUUUUUUAAAGAAA